RNAcentral lists this ribosomal RNA (488 nucleotides) under uncultured soil bacterium. Its description in RNAcentral is "bacterial SSU rRNA". It matches the Rfam family "Bacterial small subunit ribosomal RNA", at positions 26 to 518 of the family's 1533-position model. The record is from RNAcentral.
AGAUUGAACGCUGGCGGCAUGCCUAACACAUGCAAGUCGAACGGGAGUAGCAAUACUCUAGUGGCGGACGGGUGAGGAAUACGUAGGAAUUUGCCCUUAAGUGGGGGAUAACCCGGGGAAACCCGGAUUAAUACCGCAUGACCUCGAAAGAGCAAAGUGGGGGAUCGCAAGACCUCACGCUUUUGGAGAAGCCUACGUCGGAUUAGCUAGUUGGUGAGGUAAUGGCUCACCAAGGCGACGAUCCGUAACUGGUCUGAGAGGAUGAUCAGUCACACCGGAACUGAGACACGGUCCGGACUCCUACGGGAGGCAGCAGUGGGGAAUAUUGGACAAUGGGCGCAAGCCUGAUCCAGCAAUGCCGCGUGUGUGAAGAAGGCCUUCGGUUGUAAAGCACUUUAAGUUGGGAAGAAAAACUACGACGUCUAACACAGUGAGUCUUGACGGUACCGACAGAAUAAGACACCGGCUAACUCUGUGCCAGCAGCCGC